RNAcentral lists this ribosomal RNA (497 nucleotides) under uncultured bacterium. Its description in RNAcentral is "partial 16S ribosomal RNA". It matches the Rfam family "Bacterial small subunit ribosomal RNA", at positions 28 to 507 of the family's 1533-position model. The record is from RNAcentral.
GACGAACGCUGGCGGCGUGCCUAAUACAUGCAAGUUGAGCGCUGAAGGUUGGUACUUGUACCAACUGGAUGAGCAGCGAACGGGUGAGUAACGCGUGGGGAAUCUGCCUUUGAGCGGGGGACAACAUUUGGAAACGAAUGCUAAUACCGCAUAAAAACUUUAAACACAAGUUUUAAGUUUGAAAGAUGCAAUUGCAUCACUCAAAGAUGAUCCCGCGUUGUAUUAGCUAGUUGGUGAGGUAAAGGCUCACCAAGGCGAUGAUACAUAGCCGACCUGAGAGGGUGAUCGGCCACAUUGGGACUGAGACACGGCCCAAACUCCUACGGGAGGCAGCAGUAGGGAAUCUUCGGCAAGGGGCGAAAGUCUGACCGAGCAACGCCGCGUGAGUGAAGAAGGUUUUCGGAUCGUAAAACUCUGUUGGUAGGGAAGAACGUUGGUGAGAGUGGAAAGCUCAUCAAGUGACGGUAACUACCCAGAAAGGAACGGCUAACUACGUG